UCAAGCAUGGUGCUGGCUCAGUUAAAA
This 27-nucleotide small RNA is filed under the name Bombyx mori (domestic silkworm). RNAcentral describes it as "ovarian small RNA-24725". The record is from RNAcentral. Lineage: Eukaryota; Metazoa; Arthropoda; Insecta; Lepidoptera; Bombycidae.